This 553-nucleotide ribosomal RNA is filed under the name uncultured archaeon. RNAcentral describes it as "bacterial SSU rRNA". It matches the Rfam family "Archaeal small subunit ribosomal RNA", at positions 325 to 879 of the family's 1478-position model. The record is from RNAcentral.
AUGGGGUGCAGCAGGCGCGAAACCUUUGCAAUGUGCGCAAGCACGACAAGGUUAAUCCGAGUGUUUCCUGUUAAAGGAAUCUUUUGUUAGUUCUAAAACCACUAUUGAAUAAGGGGUGGGCAAGUUCUGGUGUCAGCCGCCGCGGUAAAACCAGCACCUCAAGUGGUCAGGAUGAUUAUUGGGCCUAAAGCAUCCGUAGCCUGUUCUGUAAGUUUCCGGUUAAAUCCAUUAGCUCAACUAAUGGGCUGCCGAAAAUACUGCAGAACUAGGGAGUGGGAGAGGUAGACGGUACUCGGUAGGAAGGGGUAAAAUCCUUUGAUCUAUUGAUGACCACCAGUGGCGAAGGCGGUCUACCAGAACACGUUCGACGGUGAGGGAUGAAAGCUGGGGGAGCAAACCGGAUUAGAUACCCGGGUAGUCCCAGCUGUAAACGAUGCAGACUCGGUGAUGCGCUGGCUUGUGGCCAGUGCAGUGCCGCAGGGAAGCCGUUAAGUUUGCCGCCUGGGAAGUACGUACGCAAGUAUGAAACUUAAAGGAAUUGGCGGGGGAGCAC